UUGAAUGAACUUGGAGUUGGUUGUCGCUGGCUGUCUUUUCAGCAUGUGCACGCCUUCUCUUUUCAUCCACACACCCCUGUGCACUUGUGAGACUGGAGACCGUAAAAAAGUCUUCAGUCUGCUAAAUUCAUAUACAAACUCAUUUAAUUGAACUGAAUGUAAAUUGAUGUAACGCAUCUUUGAAC
RNAcentral lists this unclassified non-coding RNA (185 nucleotides) under uncultured Ceratobasidium. RNAcentral describes it as "sequence contains ITS1". The record is from RNAcentral. Lineage: Eukaryota; Fungi; Basidiomycota; Agaricomycetes; Cantharellales; Ceratobasidiaceae.